AUGGCGAUCCGCAUCACCGUCUCCUACUCCGGCUACGUGGCGCAGAACCUCGCCGCGUCGCUCGGCCUCCGCUGCGGGUCCUCCGCCUCCGCCGGGUGCCGGUUCCUCCAGGAGGGGUCGUGGCGCCCCUUCUGCAUCUUCACCUCCUCUCGCCACCAGCCCGACCGCCUCCGGGCCAGCGACGGUGACCGCCAUGACGCCGCCGACGACCACAACCACCCCAAGCCUCAGGCCCUCGCUGCCGCCGCCGCUGCCGCCUCCGGAAGCCACUCUCUUUUCCCUUCGAGGCCCUACUCUUCGUCCAAGCCGCCGCCGCCGCCGCCUCUCGCCGUGGGGUUGCUGUCGGUGCUCGCCCAGGGUUCGACGGCUGGGAUCUCCGGCGCCGCGUCUCUGGCCGGAUCGUCGUCGAUUUCGAUCGGGCUGUUCAACCCGGCGCACCUCCUCCCGUUCUUGCAGACCGCGAGGUGGCUCCCCUGCAGCGACCUUGCCCCCUCCUCGUCUUCGGCGCCAUCGUCCCCUCCUCCCUCGCCACCGCUGCCUUCGAUCCGUCCCUCCAGGAAGACGUUCAGCGGUGUUCCACCCGCCGGAGCUUCCGCUUCUGCUUCUGGCGCGAUUGCCCGGAACAUCGGUGCUAGUGCCACAAUGAGCAGGAGCAACUGGCUGUCCAAGUGGGUGAGCUCGUGCUCCGACGACGCCAAGACGGCCUUCGCCGCCGUGACCGUGCCGCUGCUCUACAGCUCCUCCCUUGCCGAGCCGAGGUCCAUCCCGUCCAAGUCCAUGUACCCGACCUUCGACGUCGGUGACCGGAUUCUCGCCGAGAAGGUGUCAUAUGUGUUCCGGGAACCAGAAAUCUUGGACAUUGUGAUCUUCCGUGCUCCCCCAGCUCUUCAGGAUAUGGGGUACAGCUCCGGUGAUGUGUUCAUCAAGAGGGUUGUGGCCAAGGGAGGGGACUACGUCGAAGUGCGUGAUGGCAAGUUACUGGUCAAUGGGGUACUUCAAGAUGAAGAAUUUGUGCUGGAGGCACACAACUAUGAGAUGGAACCAUUGCUUGUGCCGGAAGGGUAUGUGUUUGUGCUGGGAGACAACCGUAACAACAGCUUAGACUCCCAUAACUGGGGGCCGCUCCCGGUGAGGAACAUACUCGGCAGAUCCGUGUUCCGGUACUGGCCACCGUCGAAGAUAACGGAUACAAGAUACUACCAACCCGAUGCGGCGCUCUACGCGGUGGGGAUGUCGUGA
RNAcentral lists this ribosomal RNA (1239 nucleotides) under Triticum aestivum (bread wheat). Its description in RNAcentral is "partial small subunit ribosomal RNA". The record is from RNAcentral. Lineage: Eukaryota; Viridiplantae; Streptophyta; Magnoliopsida; Poales; Poaceae.